GGCUCUUCAAGCCAAGCAGGAACAAGCCAAGGGACAACAGAUCAUCGUGAACAAUAAAGCAGCCAUGCAGGCGUAGCUCAGCCAUGCAUAAAGAGAGCCAGUCGUGCAUGCUACAGAGAUUUGUCUGGUUAAUUCCAUUAACGAACGAGACCUCAGCCUGCUAACUAGCUAUGCGGAGGUGACCCUCCGCUGCUAGCUUCUUAGAGGGACUAUGGCUUUCCAGGCCAAGGAAGUUUGAGGCAAUAACAGGUUUGUGAUGCCCUUAGAUGUUCUGGGCUGCACGCGCGCUACACUGAUGUAUUCAACGAGUCUAUAGCCUUGGCCGACAAGCCCGGGUAAUCUUUGAAAUUUCAUCGUGAUGGGGAUAGAUCAUUGCAAUUGUUGGUCUUCAACGAGGAAUUCCUAGUAAGCGCGAGUCAUCAGCUCGCGUUGACUACGUCCCUGCC
Non-coding RNA from Populus trichocarpa (black cottonwood), 446 nucleotides. NCBI's taxonomy places the organism in Eukaryota, Viridiplantae, Streptophyta, Magnoliopsida, Malpighiales, Salicaceae. The record is from Rfam.